AUAAUACCCAUAUAAUCCUAAGUCAAUCAACCAACCACCCCACAUGACUCAGAACUGAUGAGAGCCCACACUUACCUAACCGGCCAUGGAACCAUGUCCCAACGUAGCCGAUCAGCCUUGCUCUUACAACCGAUGCAUCCUUUGAUCAAUCAGAUCAGACACCUUGAUCCAUCAUUUAAGGAUAAGGUCGUCCAUUCUUACCCAUGAUCAGAUCACACACGGCCUUCCUUGAAUAAUCACACCUAGGCUCAAUACUUAUGGUCCGCGCCACAUUGUACUAGCCAUACGCUUCUUCAUGGCUUGCUGCUGGUUCCAAAUGAAUUGGACCUUACACUCCACGUCGUUCCUAUUAUACUAGGACCCCCAUGUGGUUUCUCCAUGAGCCGGAUCAAUCAUUCACACCAUGAUCAAACCCAACACCAAUCCAUGACCCGCCAUGGAUCACUAUCCAAC
This 453-nucleotide long non-coding RNA is filed under the name Brassica napus (rape). RNAcentral describes it as "long non-coding RNA (BNAP_LNC024058)". Lineage: Eukaryota; Viridiplantae; Streptophyta; Magnoliopsida; Brassicales; Brassicaceae. The record is from RNAcentral.